ACGGAAGGCAGCAGUGGGGAAUAUUGGGCAAUGGCCGAAAGGCUGACCCAGCGACGCCGCGUGCGGGAGGAAGCCCUUCGGGGUGUAAACCGCUGUCAGGGGGGACGAAUGACUCUCUGGGGAAUACUCAGAGGGAGUGACGGUACCCCCAAAGGAAGCACCGGCUAACUCUGUGCCAGCAGCCGCGGUAAUACAGAGGGUGCAAGCGUUGUUCGGAAUCACUGGGCGUAAAGCGCGCGCAGGCGGAUGGUUGCGUCCGGAGUGAAAUUUCGCCGCUCAACGGCGAAGCUGCUUUGGAUACGGACCGUCUAGGGACCGGUAGAGGCUGGUAGAAUUGCAGGUGUAGCGGUGGAAUGCGUAGAGAUCUGCAAGAAUACCCGUGGCGAAGGCGGCCAGCUGGGCCGGAUCCGACGCUGAGGCGCGAAAGCGUGGGGAGCAAACAGGAUUAGAUACCCUGGUA
This 460-nucleotide ribosomal RNA is filed under the name uncultured Gemmatimonadota bacterium. Its description in RNAcentral is "bacterial SSU rRNA". It matches the Rfam family "Bacterial small subunit ribosomal RNA", at positions 341 to 792 of the family's 1533-position model. Lineage: Bacteria; Pseudomonadati; Gemmatimonadota. The record is from RNAcentral.